Molecule: ribosomal RNA, 375 nt
Filed under: uncultured bacterium
Lineage: Bacteria
Description: bacterial SSU rRNA
Rfam family: Bacterial small subunit ribosomal RNA
Source: RNAcentral
UAAUACGAGAGGCGCAAACGUUAUUCGGAAUUACUGGGCUUAAAGAGUUCGUAGGCGGCGCAGAAAGUAGGGUGUGAAAGCCCUCGGCUCAACCGAGGAAUUGCGCUCUAAACUACUGUGCUUGAGGAACCUAGAGGUGAGCAGAACAGAUGGUGGAGCGGUGAAAUGCGUUGAUAUCAUCUGGAAUACCGGAGGCGAAGGCGGCUCACUGGGGGUUUUCUGACGCUGAGGAACGAAAGCCAGGGUAGCGAACGGGAUUAGAUACCCCGGUAGUCCUGGCCGUAAACGAUGAGCACUAGGCCGGAGGGCUGCACAGCCUUUCGGCCGUAGCUAAAGUGUUAAGUGCUCCGCCUGGGGAGUAUGGUCGCAAGGCUG